AUGCCAGUCGCCGCCGCAGCCGACCUGCCAAGCUGCCGAGGAGCCACCCACGGCCAAAGCAGCAGCCACACCAGGCCACUGCCCAACCCGCGCCGCCAGCCGAGCUCCAAGCGUCGGAGCUGCCGGGCACGCACCAGCCCCACCUCCACCCACACAGGGAGAAACCGCAGCCCAACCACCGGCCGCCGGGCGCCGACCCCGAUCCCAAGCCCACCGGCGCAACCACAAGCCGCGUUGCCAGAAAUGGCCAAGGCGAGACCAGCCCGCGAGCGUCGCCCAUGGUACCCCCGACGGAAGCUCGGAUCCGUCAGGGCGACCGCGCAGCUCCCCACAGCGCUAGCUUCCCCCGCCGCCACGGCCCGCGUCGCCAGCCAAAGGCAUCCCCGAUCCGGCCUCCUACUUGUGCAGCUUGACCACCGCCGCCCACGGAGGCGACCAGCGUUUCCACCGUCAGGCCCAACGCCGCCUCCCACCUGCGCCGCUGCCACGGAGGCGACCACCACCGCCGCUCGCAGGAGCAGACACUUCGUCCACUUUGGCCGCCGGCGCCACAGAUAA
Molecule: ribosomal RNA, 558 nt
Filed under: Triticum aestivum (bread wheat)
Lineage: Eukaryota; Viridiplantae; Streptophyta; Magnoliopsida; Poales; Poaceae
Description: partial small subunit ribosomal RNA
Source: RNAcentral